GGGCGCGUAGUGGAGUGGUUACCACGUUGGUCUUCGAUCAACCAAAGUUCGUCGGUUCGAUCCCGGCCGUGCUCG
Molecule: transfer RNA, 75 nt
Filed under: Rhizoctonia solani AG-1 IB
Lineage: Eukaryota; Fungi; Basidiomycota; Agaricomycetes; Cantharellales; Ceratobasidiaceae
Description: tRNA-Arg
Rfam family: tRNA
About the family: Transfer RNA (tRNA) molecules are approximately 80 nucleotides in length. Their secondary structure includes four short double-helical elements and three loops (D, anti-codon, and T loops).
Source: RNAcentral